UACAGAGGGUGCAAGCGUUGUUCGGAAUUAUUGGGCGUAAAGCGCGUGUAGGCGGCUUUGCAAGUCGGGUGUGAAAGCCCUCGGCUCAACCGAGGAAGUGCGCCCGAAACUGCAGAGCUUGAGUACCGGAGAGGGAUGCGGAAUUCCAGGUGUAGCGGUGAAAUGCGUAGAUAUCUGGAGGAACACCGGUGGCGAAGGCGGCAUCCUGGACCAACACUGACGCUGAGUGAGCGAAAGCCAGGGGAGCAAACGGG
This 254-nucleotide ribosomal RNA is filed under the name uncultured bacterium. RNAcentral's name for it is "partial 16S ribosomal RNA". It matches the Rfam family "Bacterial small subunit ribosomal RNA", at positions 524 to 776 of the family's 1533-position model. The record is from RNAcentral.